Molecule: ribosomal RNA, 595 nt
Filed under: Clavactinia gallensis
Lineage: Eukaryota; Metazoa; Cnidaria; Hydrozoa; Anthoathecata; Hydractiniidae
Description: partial 16S ribosomal RNA
Rfam family: Bacterial large subunit ribosomal RNA
Source: RNAcentral
GCCCUAGAAAAAAUCUAAGGUGUAACCUGCCCAAUGAUUUUUAAAUUAAGAAAUAUAAUAUUUUCUAAAAAAAUUUAAAGGACGCAGUAACCUGACUGUGAUAAUGUAGCAUAAUCAUUCGCCAUUUAAUUGAUGGAUAGUAUGAAAGGUUGAACGAAUUCUUCACUGUCUUAAAUAAAGAUUUAAUGAAAUUUAAAUAAUAGUAAAGAUGCUAUUUAAAAUUGUAAGACGAAAAGACCCUAUAGAGCUUAACUAUAACUCUUUUAAAAUAAAAUUAAACAAAAUUUAAUUUAAAAAAGAGGUAGGUAGUUUAGUUGGGGCGACUAUCUUCUAAAAAUAACGAAGAUAAGCAAUAUUAAAAACAAAUUUAUUGUAUAAUCUAUAAAUUUAACAAUUACAAAAGUAGGCUUUAAUGACCCGUUAAAAUAAAAUAAAAUAAUUAACGAUCAAUAAAUAAAAGCUACCUUAGGGAUAACAGGAUAAUUUCAUUCUAGAGACCCUAUCGAAAAUGAAGUUUGUCACCUCUAUGUUGAAUUAAGAUAUCCUGAUAAUGCAGAAGUUAUCAAAGGUAGGUCUGUUCGACCUUUAAAAUCUU